AGUGAACGCUGGCGGUAGGCCUAACACAUGCAAGUCGAACGGCAGCACAGGAGAGCUUGCUCUCUAGGUGGCGAGUGGCGGACGGGUGAGGAAUACAUCGGAAUCUGCCCAGUCGUGGGGGAUAACGUAGGGAAACUUACGCUAAUACCGCAUACGACCUUCGGGUGAAAGAGGGGGAUCGCAAGACCUCUCGCGAUUGGAUGAGCCGAUGUCGGAUUAGCUAGUUAGCGGGGUAAUGGCCCACCAAGGCGACGAUCCGUAGCUGGUCUGAGAGGAUGAUCAGCCACACUGGAACUGAGACACGGUCCAGACUCCUACGGGAGGCAGCAGUGGGGAAUAUUGGACAAUGGGCGCAAGCCUGAUCCAGCCAUACCGCGUGGGUGAAGAAGGCCUUCGGGUUGUAAAGCCCUUUUGUUGGGAAAGAAAUCUUUCAGGCUAAUACCCUGGGAGGAUGACGGUACCCAAAGAAUAAGCACCGGCUAACUUCG
RNAcentral lists this ribosomal RNA (488 nucleotides) under uncultured bacterium. Its description in RNAcentral is "partial 16S ribosomal RNA". It matches the Rfam family "Bacterial small subunit ribosomal RNA", at positions 29 to 505 of the family's 1533-position model. The record is from RNAcentral.